Molecule: ribosomal RNA, 253 nt
Filed under: uncultured bacterium
Lineage: Bacteria
Description: partial 16S ribosomal RNA
Rfam family: Bacterial small subunit ribosomal RNA
Source: RNAcentral
GACGUAGGGGGCCAGCGUUGCUCGGAAUUACUGGGCGUAAAGGGUUCGUAGGCGGUGCGGCAAGUUGGGAGUGAAAUCUCUGGGCUUAACCCAGAGGCUGCUUCCAAAACUGCCGUGCUAGAGUGCGAGAGAGGCCAGUGGAAUUGCAGGUGUAGCGGUGAAAUGCGUAGAUAUCUGCAGGAACACCCGUGGCGAAGGCGGCUGGCUGGAACACUACUGACGCUGAGGAACGAAAGCGAGGGAAGCAAACAGG